Hemicordylus capensis (graceful crag lizard) is the source of this 352-nucleotide long non-coding RNA. RefSeq lists it as uncharacterized. The record is from RefSeq and is a predicted model, not a curated record. Lineage: Eukaryota; Metazoa; Chordata; Lepidosauria; Squamata; Cordylidae. The transcript is spliced from 3 exons.
GUCGGAAGAUGUUAUUGAUUGUAGAGGAGAGAAAUCUAUGCAUCUAUGUAUAUACCUGUGUACAUCAUGCCCUUUUAGAACUGAACAUGGAGAUGCCUUUUUGCCACCCUAAGCUCUGAUAGACUUCAAGAAGAUUUAUACCAGCUGAAAAAAAUAUAACCUUAAAGUGAUUCAAGGUGAUUUCCAAAUCUAUAAAGGAUAUACGUAGAAGAUAUGGUUCUGUGGUUCUUCUCUGGGACAUAUAUUCAUGCUUUGUAACAAGAAACUGUUACAAAUGUUUUCAUAAUACUGCACAAUGAGUGCUUUGUGGAUUUCACCAUGGGGGUAUUUCUAGAUUAAAACAUUUUGCAGA